RNAcentral lists this long non-coding RNA (264 nucleotides) under Moschus moschiferus (Siberian musk deer). Its description in RNAcentral is "lncRNA (ENSMMSG00000006952.1)". Lineage: Eukaryota; Metazoa; Chordata; Mammalia; Artiodactyla; Moschidae. The record is from RNAcentral.
CUGCGAGACGCCGCGGCCUGACUCGCGGGUCCGGAAGCGCCAUGGACCCCCGGGGAACGCGCUCGCGGGGCAGCGGCCGAGCCCUAUCUAGAUGUGGAGGAAAUGGAGGACUCAGAACCAAGGAUUUCCAAGUGAUUUCUUCCAAAGCUCAAGACACUAACUCUGUUAAAGCUGGUCUGUUCUAACUGAGGUAAUCGAAUAUACAUCUUUUGUUCUCUACUUGAAAUAGGCGAUGUUUUUUUCUAAGGGGCUAAACCGCUCCCG